This 253-nucleotide ribosomal RNA is filed under the name uncultured bacterium. RNAcentral's name for it is "partial 16S ribosomal RNA". It matches the Rfam family "Bacterial small subunit ribosomal RNA", at positions 524 to 776 of the family's 1533-position model. The record is from RNAcentral.
UACGGAGGGACCAAGCGUUGUUCGGAUUUACUGGGCGUAAAGGGCGCGUAGGCGGUGUUGUAAGUCACUUGUGAAAUCUCUGAGCUUAACUCAGAACGGCCAAGUGAUACUGCAGCACUAGAGUGCAGAAGGGGCAAUCGGAAUUCUUGGUGUAGCGGUGAAAUGCGUAGAUAUCAAGAGGAACACCUGAGGUGAAGACGGGUUGCUGGGCUGACACUGACGCUGAGGCGCGAAAGCUAGGGGAGCAAACGGG